CAGUCGCCGCGGUAAUACGGAGGGUGCAAGCGUUAAUCGGAAUUACUGGGCGUAAAGCGCACGCAGGCGGUCUGUUAAGUCAGAUGUGAAAUCCCCGGGCUUAACCUGGGAACUGCAUUUGAAACUGGCAGGCUAGAGUCUUGUAGAGGGGGGUAGAAUUCCAGGUGUAGCGGUGAAAUGCGUAGAGAUCUGGAGGAAUACCGGUGGCGAAGGCGGCCCCCUGGACAAAGACUGACGCUCAGGUGCGAAAGCGUGGGGAGCAAACAGGAUUAGAUACCCCGGUAGUCCCUGUCUCUUAUAC
RNAcentral lists this ribosomal RNA (301 nucleotides) under uncultured bacterium. Its description in RNAcentral is "partial 16S ribosomal RNA". It matches the Rfam family "Bacterial small subunit ribosomal RNA", at positions 509 to 807 of the family's 1533-position model. The record is from RNAcentral.